ACAACAUUUGGACCGUCGGUCUACCGAGCAAUAUCACCCGCUCGGUGGAAGAUCUUCCCUCUGUCGU
RNAcentral lists this microRNA precursor (67 nucleotides) under Bombyx mori (domestic silkworm). Its description in RNAcentral is "mir-2774 microRNA precursor family". It matches the Rfam family "mir-2774 microRNA precursor family". Lineage: Eukaryota; Metazoa; Arthropoda; Insecta; Lepidoptera; Bombycidae. The record is from Rfam by way of RNAcentral.